This 332-nucleotide long non-coding RNA is filed under the name Elaeis guineensis (African oil palm). Its description in RNAcentral is "long non-coding RNA (EGUI_LNC000895)". The record is from RNAcentral. Lineage: Eukaryota; Viridiplantae; Streptophyta; Magnoliopsida; Arecales; Arecaceae.
GAGGAGGUCUGAUAUAUAUCUGAUUUCAGACAGAAUUUUAUCUCAUUGAGUAAACUGGAUUCGAAAGACUACAAGACAGUGGCUGGUGGAGGAGUUCUGAAGGUGUUGCACAGUGAUAAUAUUAUUUUAGAGAAAAAAAAAGAUGAUGAAAAGAUAUUACUACCUGGUGGGGAGCCUAGUGCAAGGUGAAGCUUCAGGAGUCAGGAGCCCUAAAGGAUGUGGAGCUCCAGAUGGAGGUAGAUUGGAUACGAAACUUAAGAUUCGAAAGGAUGAGAGACGAUAUCAUAGGGUAAGAUUUCUAUUGCCGCAGGAGGAUAUCCCGAGCAGAUCUC